RNAcentral lists this long non-coding RNA (356 nucleotides) under Prunus persica (peach). RNAcentral's name for it is "long non-coding RNA (PPER_LNC003723)". The record is from RNAcentral. Lineage: Eukaryota; Viridiplantae; Streptophyta; Magnoliopsida; Rosales; Rosaceae.
UUGGCUAGAAAGAGAGAGAAGUGGCAGUAGAUGUCUGAGUUGGAUUGGCAAGGAAAGGAGAGAAAGAAUGGCAUAGUGGCUGGCUGUGAGCUAGGGUAUAUGGGACUGGUGGGUCAAAAGAACAAAUUUAUUCUAAUUAAUGUCUAGUCUUAUUUUGUAUUUGGAAAUAAAAUGAAUUAAUUAAAUGAUACAUUUACUAAGGGUAAAUUGGGAAAAGAUAAGUUAUUUUUUCUAAUGCAUUAAUGACAUUGUUUAAAGUCUAAAUAAAGUGUCACAUGCCAUGAGAAAAAUGGAAAAAGUCAAAAAGAGAAGGUUAGAGAGAAAGUUGUUAGCAUUCCCCGAACGCAACUCAUCCG